RNAcentral lists this ribosomal RNA (484 nucleotides) under uncultured bacterium. Its description in RNAcentral is "partial 16S ribosomal RNA". It matches the Rfam family "Bacterial small subunit ribosomal RNA", at positions 28 to 507 of the family's 1533-position model. The record is from RNAcentral.
GAUGAACGCUGGCGGCAGGCCUAACACAUGCAAGUCGAGCGGAUGAAGGGAGCUUUCUCCUGGAUUACGCUGCGGACGGGUGAGUAAGGCCUAGGAAUCUGCCUGGCCUUGGGGACUAACGUCCGGAAACGGGCGCUAAUACCGCAUACGACCUGAUGGUGAAAGGGAGGGAUCUUUGGACCUCGCGGUAUCUGAUGAGCCUAGGCCGUAUUAGCUAGUUGGUUGGGUAACGGCGUACCAAGGCGACGAUCCGUAACUGGUCUGAGAGGGUGAUCAGCCACACUGGAACUGAGACACGGUCCAGACUCCUACGGGAGGCAGCAGUGGGGAAUAUUGGACAAUGGGCGAAAGCCUGAUCCAGCCACGCCGCGUGUGUGAAGAAGGUCUUCGGAUUGUAAAGCACUUUAAGUUGGGAGGAAGGACAGUAAGUUAAUCUCUUGAUGUCUUGACGUUACCAAAAGAAUAAGCACCGGCUAACUUCGUG